UUGACCUCAAAUCAGGUAGGAUUACCCGCUGAACUUAAGYAUAUCAAUAAGCGNANGAAAAGAAACUAA
This 69-nucleotide ribosomal RNA is filed under the name Fulvifomes nilgheriensis. RNAcentral's name for it is "partial 28S ribosomal RNA". It matches the Rfam family "Eukaryotic large subunit ribosomal RNA", at positions 1 to 68 of the family's 3401-position model. Lineage: Eukaryota; Fungi; Basidiomycota; Agaricomycetes; Hymenochaetales; Hymenochaetaceae. The record is from RNAcentral.